This 253-nucleotide ribosomal RNA is filed under the name uncultured bacterium. RNAcentral describes it as "partial 16S ribosomal RNA". It matches the Rfam family "Bacterial small subunit ribosomal RNA", at positions 524 to 776 of the family's 1533-position model. The record is from RNAcentral.
UACGGAGGGGGCUAGCGUUGUUCGGAAUUACUGGGCGUAAAGCGCGUGUAGGCGGUUCUGCAAGUCGGGUGUGAAAGCCCCGGGCUCAACCUGGGAAUUGCAUUCGAGACUGCAUUGCUGGAGUACGGAAGAGGAAGGCGGAAUUCCCGGUGUAGCGGUGAAAUGCGUAGAUAUCGGGAGGAACAUCAGUGGCGAAGGCGGCCUUCUGGUCCAGUACUGACACUCAAGUGCGAAAGCGUGGGGAGCAAACAGG